RNAcentral lists this ribosomal RNA (235 nucleotides) under uncultured bacterium. RNAcentral's name for it is "partial 16S ribosomal RNA". It matches the Rfam family "Bacterial small subunit ribosomal RNA", at positions 99 to 334 of the family's 1533-position model. The record is from RNAcentral.
CGAACGGGUGAGUAACACGUGAGAAACCUACCCCGGAGACCGGGAUAACCGCCCGAAAGGGCGGCUAAUACCGGAUACCUCGAUCAGAUCGCAUGGUCAGAUCGGGAAAUGGAUUCCGCUCCGGGAGGGUCUCGCGGCCCAUCAGCUCGUUGGUGAGGUAACGGCUCACCAAGGCAUCGACGGGUAGCUGGUCUGAGAGGACGACCAGCCACACUGGGACUGAGACACGGCCCAG